RNAcentral lists this ribosomal RNA (2906 nucleotides) under Enterobacter hormaechei. RNAcentral's name for it is "23S ribosomal RNA". It matches the Rfam family "Bacterial large subunit ribosomal RNA". The record is from RNAcentral. Lineage: Bacteria; Pseudomonadati; Pseudomonadota; Gammaproteobacteria; Enterobacterales; Enterobacteriaceae. RNAcentral also lists the same sequence under 1 other name.
GGUUAAGCGACUAAGCGUACACGGUGGAUGCCCUGGCAGUCAGAGGCGAUGAAGGACGUGCUAAUCUGCGAAAAGCGCCGGCGAGGUGAUAUGAACCCUUGACCCGGCGAUGUCCGAAUGGGGAAACCCAGUGCAAUCCGUUGCACUAUCGUUAACUGAAUACAUAGGUUAACGAGGCGAACCGGGGGAACUGAAACAUCUAAGUACCCCGAGGAAAAGAAAUCAACCGAGAUUCCCCCAGUAGCGGCGAGCGAACGGGGAGCAGCCCGGAGUCUGAAUCAGCUUGUGUGUUAGUGGAACGGUCUGGAAAGUCCGACGGUACAGGGUGAUAGUCCCGUACACGAAAGCACACAUGCUGUGAACUCGAAGAGUAGGGCGGGACACGUGGUAUCCUGUCUGAAUAUGGGGGGACCAUCCUCCAAGGCUAAAUACUCCUGACUGACCGAUAGUGAACCAGUACCGUGAGGGAAAGGCGAAAAGAACCCCGGCGAGGGGAGUGAAAAAGAACCUGAAACCGUGUACGUACAAGCAGUGGGAGCCUCUUUAUGGGGUGACUGCGUACCUUUUGUAUAAUGGGUCAGCGACUUAUAUUCUGUAGCAAGGUUAACCGUAUAGGGGAGCCGAAGGGAAACCGAGUCUUAACUGGGCGUUAAGUUGCAGGGUAUAGACCCGAAACCCGGUGAUCUAGCCAUGGGCAGGUUGAAGGUUGGGUAACACUAACUGGAGGACCGAACCGACUAAUGUUGAAAAAUUAGCGGAUGACCUGUGGCUGGGGGUGAAAGGCCAAUCAAACCGGGAGAUAGCUGGUUCUCCCCGAAAGCUAUUUAGGUAGCGCCUCGUGAACUCAUCUUCGGGGGUAGAGCACUGUUUCGGCUAGGGGGCCAUCCCGGCUUACCAACCCGAUGCAAACUACGAAUACCGAAGAAUGUUAUCACGGGAGACACACGGCGGGUGCUAACGUCCGUCGUGAAGAGGGAAACAACCCAGACCGCCAGCUAAGGUCCCAAAGUCAUGGUUAAGUGGGAAACGAUGUGGGAAGGCACAGACAGCCAGGAUGUUGGCUUAGAAGCAGCCAUCAUUUAAAGAAAGCGUAAUAGCUCACUGGUCGAGUCGGCCUGCGCGGAAGAUGUAACGGGGCUAAACCAUGCACCGAAGCUGCGGCAGCGACGCUUAUGCGUUGUUGGGUAGGGGAGCGUUCUGUAAGCCGUUGAAGGUGUGCUGUGAGGCAUGCUGGAGGUAUCAGAAGUGCGAAUGCUGACAUAAGUAACGAUAAAGCGGGUGAAAAGCCCGCUCGCCGGAAGACCAAGGGUUCCUGUCCAACGUUAAUCGGGGCAGGGUGAGUCGACCCCUAAGGCGAGGCCGAAAGGCGUAGUCGAUGGGAAACAGGUUAAUAUUCCUGUACUUGGUGUUACUGCGAAGGGGGGACGGAGAAGGCUAUGUCAGCCGGGCGACGGUUGUCCCGGUUUAAGCAUGUAGGCGGAGGUUCCAGGUAAAUCCGGUACCUUAUUAACGCUGAGGUGUGAUGACGAGGCACUACGGUGCUGAAGUGAUAAAUGCCCUGCUUCCAGGAAAAGCCUCUAAGCAUCAGGUAACACGAAAUCGUACCCCAAACCGACACAGGUGGUCAGGUAGAGAAUACCAAGGCGCUUGAGAGAACUCGGGUGAAGGAACUAGGCAAAAUGGUGCCGUAACUUCGGGAGAAGGCACGCUGAUGUGUAGGUGAAGCCCCUGCGGGUGGAGCUGAAAUCAGUCGAAGAUACCAGCUGGCUGCAACUGUUUAUUAAAAACACAGCACUGUGCAAACACGAAAGUGGACGUAUACGGUGUGACGCCUGCCCGGUGCCGGAAGGUUAAUUGAUGGGGUUAGCGGCAACGCGAAGCUCUUGAUCGAAGCCCCGGUAAACGGCGGCCGUAACUAUAACGGUCCUAAGGUAGCGAAAUUCCUUGUCGGGUAAGUUCCGACCUGCACGAAUGGCGUAAUGAUGGCCAGGCUGUCUCCACCCGAGACUCAGUGAAAUUGAACUCGCUGUGAAGAUGCAGUGUACCCGCGGCAAGACGGAAAGACCCCGUGAACCUUUACUAUAGCUUGACACUGAACACUGGUCCUUGAUGUGUAGGAUAGGUGGGAGGCUUUGAAGCGUGGACGCCAGUCUGCGUGGAGCCGCCCUUGAAAUACCACCCUUUAAUGGCUGGUGUUCUAACGUGGACCCGUAAUCCGGGUUGCGGACAGUGUCUGGUGGGUAGUUUGACUGGGGCGGUCUCCUCCCAAAGAGUAACGGAGGAGCACGAAGGUUGGCUAAUCCUGGUCGGACAUCAGGAGGUUAGUGCAAUGGCAUAAGCCAGCUUGACUGCGAGCGUGACGGCGCGAGCAGGUGCGAAAGCAGGUCAUAGUGAUCCGGUGGUUCUGAAUGGAAGGGCCAUCGCUCAACGGAUAAAAGGUACUCCGGGGAUAACAGGCUGAUACCGCCCAAGAGUUCAUAUCGACGGCGGUGUUUGGCACCUCGAUGUCGGCUCAUCACAUCCUGGGGCUGAAGUAGGUCCCAAGGGUAUGGCUGUUCGCCAUUUAAAGUGGUACGCGAGCUGGGUUUAGAACGUCGUGAGACAGUUCGGUCCCUAUCUGCCGUGGGCGCUGGAGAAUUGAGGGGGGCUGCUCCUAGUACGAGAGGACCGGAGUGGACGCAUCACUGGUGUUCGGGUUGUCAUGCCAAUGGCACUGCCCGGUAGCUAAAUGCGGAAGAGAUAAGUGCUGAAAGCAUCUAAGCACGAAACUUGCCCCGAGAUGAGUUCUCCCUGAGACUUUAAGUCUCCUGAAGGAACGUUGAAGACGACGACGUUGAUAGGUCGGGUGUGUAAGCGCAGCGAUGCGUUGAGCUAACCGAUACUAAUGAACCGUGAGGCUUAACCUU